UACGUAGGGUGCAAGCGUUAAUCGGAAUUACUGGGCGUAAAGCGUGCGCAGGCGGUUAUGUAAGACAGAUGUGAAAUCCCCGGGCUCAACCUGGGAACUGCAUUUGUGACUGUACGGCUAGAGUGCGGCAGAGGGGGAUGGAAUUCCGCGUGUAGCAGUGAAAUGCGUAGAUAUGCGGAGGAACACCGAUGGCGAAGGCAAUCCCCUGGGCCUGCACUGACGCUCAUGCACGAAAGCGUGGGGAGCAAACAGG
RNAcentral lists this ribosomal RNA (253 nucleotides) under uncultured bacterium. Its description in RNAcentral is "partial 16S ribosomal RNA". It matches the Rfam family "Bacterial small subunit ribosomal RNA", at positions 524 to 776 of the family's 1533-position model. The record is from RNAcentral.